GAUGAACGCUAGCGGGAGGCUUAACACAUGCAAGUCGAGGGGCAUCACGGGUAGCAAUACCUGGGUGGCGACCGGCAGACGGGUGAGUAACGCGUAUGUAACCUACCCUGUACAGGGGGAUAACCCGGAGAAAUUCGGACUAAUAUCCCAUAAUGAUAUCUGGGGGCAUCUUCGGAUAUUUAAAGUUCCGGCGGUACAGGAUGGGCAUGCGUAACAUUAGCUAGUUGGUAAGGUAACGGCUUACCAAGGCUUUGAUGUUUAGGGGUCCUGAGAGGGUGGUCCCCCACACUGGUACUGAGACACGGACCAGACUCCUACGGGAGGCAGCAGUGAGGAAUAUUGGUCAAUGGGCGCAAGCCUGAACCAGCCAUCCCGCGUGCAGGAAGACGGCCCUAUGGGUUGUAAACUGCUUUUCCAGGGAGAGAAACUUGCGUACGCGUUGCGCAAUUGACGGUACCCUGGGAAUAAGCAUCGGCUAACUCCGUG
RNAcentral lists this ribosomal RNA (486 nucleotides) under uncultured bacterium. RNAcentral describes it as "bacterial SSU rRNA". It matches the Rfam family "Bacterial small subunit ribosomal RNA", at positions 28 to 507 of the family's 1533-position model. The record is from RNAcentral.